RNAcentral lists this transfer RNA (72 nucleotides) under Leptospiraceae bacterium. RNAcentral describes it as "tRNA-Gly". It matches the Rfam family "tRNA". From Rfam's summary of the family: Transfer RNA (tRNA) molecules are approximately 80 nucleotides in length. Their secondary structure includes four short double-helical elements and three loops (D, anti-codon, and T loops). The record is from RNAcentral. Lineage: Bacteria; Pseudomonadati; Spirochaetota; Leptospiria; Leptospirales; Leptospiraceae.
GCGGGAAUAGCUCAGUGGUAGAGCACCUCCUUGCCAAGGAGGGGGUCGGGGGUUCAAGUCCCCUUUCCCGCU